RNAcentral lists this ribosomal RNA (403 nucleotides) under uncultured bacterium. Its description in RNAcentral is "bacterial SSU rRNA". It matches the Rfam family "Bacterial small subunit ribosomal RNA", at positions 355 to 774 of the family's 1533-position model. The record is from RNAcentral.
UAGGGAAUAUUGCAAAAUGGGCGAAAGCCCGAUGCAGCAACGCCGCGUGGGCGAUGAAGGCCUUCGGGUCGUAAAGCCCUUUUUGAGGGGAUGAGGAAGGACAGUACCCUCAGAAUAAGCCUCGGCUAACUACGUGCCAGCAGCCGCGGUAAAACGUAGGAGGCGAGCGUUAUCCGGAUUUACUGGGCGUAAAGCGCGUGCAGGCGGAUUGGAGAGUUGGAUGUGAAAGCUCCCGGCUUAACUGGGAGAGGUCGUUCAAUACUUCCAGUCUUGAGUGCAGUAGAGGGAAGUGGAAUACCGGGUGUAGUGGUGAAAUGCGUAGAUAUCCGGAGGAACACCAGUGGCGAAAGCGGCUUCCUGGACUGUAACUGACGCUCAGACGCGAAAGCUAGGGUAGCAAACG